UCAAACUUGGUCAUUUAGAGGAAGUAAAAGUCGUAACAAGGUUUCCGUAGGUGAACCUGCGGAAGGAUCAUUAUUGAACAUAAAUUGAACGCGGGGCUGCUGCUGGUUCCUUUGCAACAUGUGCACGUCUUUGCGUUUCAUUUUUACAUGUGUUCCUCCUGUGCACCAGUGGUGGAGAUCUGUCCGAAAGCAAUGAACCGCUUCGAAGGAUGAACUUUGGUGGAAAGGAACUAGCAGCACGUCAAAGGGCCGCUUUUUCUUUGAAAGGGUAGCAUGCUUUUAGAUGGCUCUCCACUGUAUCUCCUUUGUCACACCUGUAUGAACUGUUGGACGAAAAAGCUAGACCUUUGAUGUCUUUUAAAUCGCAUAUAACUUUCAACAACGGAUCUCUUGGCUCUCGCAUCGAUGAAGAACGCAGC
This 419-nucleotide unclassified non-coding RNA is filed under the name uncultured fungus. Its description in RNAcentral is "partial contains small subunit ribosomal RNA, internal transcribed spacer 1, and 5.8S ribosomal RNA". The stretch from base 1 to 73 matches the Rfam family "Eukaryotic small subunit ribosomal RNA", at positions 1759 to 1831 of the family's 1831-position model. The record is from RNAcentral. Lineage: Eukaryota; Fungi.